GUGGGGAAUUUUGGACAAUGGGCGCAAGCCUGAUCCAGCCAUGCCGCGUGUGUGAAGAAGGUCUUCGGAUUGUAAAGCACUUUAAGUUGGGAGGAAGGGCAGUAAGUUAAUACCUUGCUGUUUUGACGUUACCGACAGAAUAAGCACCGGCUAACUUCGUGCCAGCAGCCGCGGUAAUACGAAGGGUGCAAGCGUUAAUCGGAAUUACUGGGCGUAAAGCGCGCGUAGGUGGUUUUGUAAGUUGGAGGUGAAAUCCCCGGGCUCAACCUGGGAACUGCCUCCAAAACUGCAUGACUAGAGUACGGUAGAGGGUAGUGGAAUUUCCUGUGUAGCGGUGAAAUGCGUAGAUAUAGGAAGGAACUCCAGUGGCGAAGGCGACUACCUGGACUGAUACUGACACUGGGGUGCGAAAGCGUGGGGAGCAAACAGGAUUAUAAACCCGAGUAGUCC
This 450-nucleotide ribosomal RNA is filed under the name uncultured bacterium. Its description in RNAcentral is "partial 16S ribosomal RNA". It matches the Rfam family "Bacterial small subunit ribosomal RNA", at positions 354 to 796 of the family's 1533-position model. The record is from RNAcentral.